This 253-nucleotide ribosomal RNA is filed under the name uncultured bacterium. RNAcentral describes it as "partial 16S ribosomal RNA". It matches the Rfam family "Bacterial small subunit ribosomal RNA", at positions 524 to 776 of the family's 1533-position model. The record is from RNAcentral.
UACAGAGGGUGCAAGCGUUGUUCGGAAUUAUUGGGCGUAAAGCGCGUGUAGGCGGCUUUGCAAGUCGGGUGUGAAAGCCCUCAGCUCAACUGAGGAAGUGCGCCCGAAACUGCAGAGCUUGAGUGCCGGAGAGGGUGGCGGAAUUCCCCAAGUAGAGGUGAAAUUCGUAGAUAUCGGGAGGAACACCAGUGGCGAAGGCGACUUCCUGGCCUGUUCUUGACGCUGAGGCGCGAAAGCUAGGGUAGCAAACGGG